This 206-nucleotide ribosomal RNA is filed under the name uncultured bacterium. RNAcentral describes it as "partial 16S ribosomal RNA". It matches the Rfam family "Bacterial small subunit ribosomal RNA", at positions 568 to 773 of the family's 1533-position model. The record is from RNAcentral.
UGCGUAGACGGUUAUUUAAGUCGGAUGUGAAAGCCCCGGGCUCAACCUGGGAAUUGCAUUCGAGACUGAAUAGCUAGGGUACGGUAGAGGGAAGCGGAAUUUCCGGUGUAGCGGUGAAAUGCGUAGAUAUCGGAAGGAACAUCAGUGGCGAAAGCGGCUUCCUGGACCAGUACCGACGUUCAGGCACGAAGGCGUGGGGAGAAACA